Molecule: ribosomal RNA, 506 nt
Filed under: uncultured bacterium
Lineage: Bacteria
Description: partial 16S ribosomal RNA
Rfam family: Bacterial small subunit ribosomal RNA
Source: RNAcentral
GAUGAACGCUAGCUACAGGCUUAACACAUGCAGGUCGAGGGGUAACGAGAGGAAAGCUUGCUUUCCUUGUCGACGACCGGCGCACGGGUGAGUAACGCGUAUCCAACCUGCCCCCAACUAGGGAAUAACCUUGCGAAAGUAAGACUAAUACCCUAUAAUUUCCUCAGAUGCCAUCUGACGAGGAAUAAAGAUUUAUCGGUUGUGGAUGGGGAUGCGUCUGAUUAGCUUGUUGGCGGGGUAACGGCCCACCAAGGCAACGAUCAGUAGGGGUUCUGAGAGGAAGGUCCCCCACAUUGGAACUGAGACACGGUCCAAACUCCUACGGGAGGCAGCAGUGAGGAAUAUUGGUCAAUGGGCGGAAGCCUGAACCAGCCAAGUAGCGUGCAGGAUGACGGCCCUAUGGGUUGUAAACUGCUUUUAUACAGGAAUAAAGUUAGCCACGUGUGGUUAUUUGUAGGUACUGUAUGAAUAAGGACCGGCUAAUUCCGUGCCAGCCGCCGCAGUAA